GUAGGAGACUUUGAAGUCGGAACGCUAGUUUCGAUUGAGUCACCCUUGAGAUACUACCUCUGUUGUAUGAACGUUCUAACUCUGAUCAGUUAUCCUGAUCGAAGACAGUGUCUGGCAGGCAGUUUGACUGGGGCGGUCGCCUCCUAAAAGAUAACGGAGGCGCUCAAAGGUUUGCUCAGAAUGGUUGGAAAUCAUUCGUAGCGUGUAAAGGCAUAAGCAAGCUUGACUGUGAGACUGACAAGUCGAGCAGGUACGAAAGUAGGACUUAGUGAUCCGGUGGUUCCGUAUGGAAGGGCCAUCGCUCAACGGACAAAAGCUACCCCGGGGAUAACAGGCUCAUCUCCCCCAAGAGUCCACAUCGACGGGGAGGUUUGGCACCUCGAUGUCGGCUCAUCGCAUCCUGGGGCUGUAGUCGGUCCCAAGGGUUGGGCUGUUCGCCCAUUAAAGCGGUACGCGAGCUGGGUUCAGAACGUCGUGAGACAGUUCGGUCCCUAUCCGUCGUGGGCGCAGGAAAUUUGAGAGGAUCUGUCCUUAGUACGAGAGGACCGGGAUGGACAUACCUCUGGUGUACCAGUUGUUCUGCCAAGAGCACCGCUGGGUAGCUACGUAUGGAUUAGAUAAUCGCUGAAAGCAUCUAAGUGAGAAACUAACCUCGAGAUGAGAUUUCCCAUUCGUCAGAAGUAAGACCCCUGAGAGACGAUCAGGUAGAUAGGCUAGAAGUGGAAGUGUAGUGAUGCAUGGAGCGGACUAGUACUAAUAGGUCGAGGACUUAACCAAG
Molecule: ribosomal RNA, 778 nt
Filed under: Oenococcus oeni
Lineage: Bacteria; Bacillati; Bacillota; Bacilli; Lactobacillales; Lactobacillaceae
Description: bacterial LSU rRNA
Rfam family: Bacterial large subunit ribosomal RNA
Source: RNAcentral